CAGCCGCCGCGGGAAUACGUAGGUGGCAAGCGUUGUCCGGAAUUAUUGGGCGUAAAGGGCUCGCAGGCGGUUUCUUAAGUCUGAUGUGAAAGCCCCCGGCUCAACCGGGGAGGGUCAUUGGAAACUGGGAAACUUGAGUGCAGAAGAGGAGAGUGGAAUUCCACGUGUAGCGGUGAAACGCGUAGAGAUGUGGAGGAACACCAGUGGCGAAGGCGACUCUCUGGUCUGUAACUGACGCUGAGGAGCGAAAGCGUGGGGAGCGAACAGGAUUAGAUACCCCGUAGUCCCUGUCUCUUAUACA
This 301-nucleotide ribosomal RNA is filed under the name uncultured bacterium. Its description in RNAcentral is "partial 16S ribosomal RNA". It matches the Rfam family "Bacterial small subunit ribosomal RNA", at positions 509 to 808 of the family's 1533-position model. The record is from RNAcentral.